RNAcentral lists this ribosomal RNA (254 nucleotides) under uncultured bacterium. Its description in RNAcentral is "partial 16S ribosomal RNA". It matches the Rfam family "Bacterial small subunit ribosomal RNA", at positions 524 to 776 of the family's 1533-position model. The record is from RNAcentral.
UACGUAGGGUCCGAGCGUUGUCCGGAAUUACUGGGCGUAAAGAGCUCGUAGGUGGUUUGUCGCGUUGUUCGUGAAAACUCACAGCUUAACUGGGGGCGUGCGGGCGAUACGGGGCAGACUGGAGUACUGCAGGGGAGACUGGAAUUCCUGGUGUAGCGGUGGAAUGCGCAGAUAUCAGGAGGAACACCGGUGGCGAAGGCGGGUCUCUGGGCAGUAACUGACGCUGAGGAGCGAAAGCGUGGGGAGCGAACAGG